Molecule: ribosomal RNA, 441 nt
Filed under: uncultured bacterium
Lineage: Bacteria
Description: partial 16S ribosomal RNA
Rfam family: Bacterial small subunit ribosomal RNA
Source: RNAcentral
CUACGGGCGGCAGCAGUGGGGAAUAUUGCACAAUGGGCGCAAGCCUGAUGCAGCAACGCCGCGUGAAGGAUGAAGGCCUUCGGGUCGUAAACUUCUGUCCUUGGGGAAGAAACAAAUGACGGUACCCAUGGAGGAAGCCCCGGCUAACUACGUGCCAGCAGCCGCGGUAAUACGUAGGGGGCAAGCGUUAUCCGGAAUUAUUGGGCGUAAAGAGUGCGUAGGUGGUUACCUAAGCGCAGGGUUUAAGGCAAUGGCUCAACUAUUGUUCGCCCUGUGAACUGGGCUACUUGAGUGCAGGAGAGGAAAGCGGAAUUCCUAGUGUAGCGGUGAAAUGCGUAGAUAUUAGGAGGAACACCAGUGGCGAAGGCGGCUUUCUGGACUGUUACUGACACUGAGGCACGAAAGCGUGGGGAGCAAACAGGAUUAGAUACCCCUGUAGUC